Molecule: ribosomal RNA, 468 nt
Filed under: uncultured bacterium
Lineage: Bacteria
Description: partial 16S ribosomal RNA
Rfam family: Bacterial small subunit ribosomal RNA
Source: RNAcentral
GAUGAACGCUGGCGGCGUGCUUAACACAUGCAAGUCGAACGGUGAAGGCGGAGCUUGCUCUGCUGGAUCAGUGGCGAACGGGUGAGUAACACGUGAGCAAUCUGCCCCUGACUCUGGGAUAAGCGCUGGAAACGGCGUCUAAUACUGGAUACGAGCUGCGAAGGCAUCUUCAGCAGCUGGAAAGAACUUCGGUCAGGGAUGAGCUCGCGGCCUAUCAGCUUGUUGAUGAGGUAACGGCUCACCAAGGCGUCGACGGGUAGCCGGCCUGAGAGGGUGACCGGCCACACUGGGACUGAGACACGGCCCAGACUCCUACGGGAGGCAGCAGUGGGGAAUAUUGCACAAUGGGCGAAAGCCUGAUGCAGCAACGCCGCGUGAGGGACGACGGCCUUCGGGUUGUAAACCUCUUUUAGCAGGGAAGAAGCGAAAGUGACGGUACCUGCAGAAAAAGCGCCGGCUAACUACGUG